This 497-nucleotide ribosomal RNA is filed under the name uncultured bacterium. RNAcentral's name for it is "partial 16S ribosomal RNA". It matches the Rfam family "Bacterial small subunit ribosomal RNA", at positions 28 to 507 of the family's 1533-position model. The record is from RNAcentral.
GAUGAACGCUGGCGGCGUGCCUAAUACAUGCAAGUCGAGCGAACAGACGAGGAGCUUGCUCCUCUGACGUUAGCGGCGGACGGGUGAGUAACACGUGGAUAACCUACCUAUAAGACUGGGAUAACUUCGGGAAACCGGAGCUAAUACCGGAUAAUAUAUUGAACCGCAUGGGUCAAUAGUGAAAUACGGUUUUGCUGUCACUUAUAGCUGGAUCCACGCCUCAUUAGCUAGUUGGUAAGGUAACGGCUUACCAAGGCGACGAUGCGUAGCCGACCUGAGAGGGUGAUAGGCCACCCUGGAACUGAGACACGGUCCAGGCUCCUACGGGAGGCAGCAGUAUGGAAUCUUCCGCAAUGGGCGAAAGCCUGACGGAACGACGCCGCGUGAGUGAUGAAGAUCUUCGGAUCGUAAAACUCUGUUAUUAGGGAUGAACAAAUGUGGAAGUAACUAUGCACGUCUUGACGGUACCUAAUCAAAAAGCCACGGCUAACUACGUG